RNAcentral lists this long non-coding RNA (739 nucleotides) under Heterocephalus glaber (naked mole-rat). RNAcentral's name for it is "lncRNA (ENSHGLG00100031300.2)". The record is from RNAcentral. Lineage: Eukaryota; Metazoa; Chordata; Mammalia; Rodentia; Bathyergidae.
CACGCGGCCCCUGCUGACCCCAGCCCGGUCCACCCAGCGGGGCCGAGCUAGGGCCCCGGCCCGGGCCCUGCGGAGCGCGAUGGUCCCCCGGGGCGACCCCUGAGCCCCUUGCCGGAUCCGGGGCUCUGCCUCUGGGCCGCGCCCCCACCUGAGAGUCGUCACCAACUUCUGCCCGGGAACUCCACUCUGCCCCUUCUCUUGGCCCAGGGCGACCUCGGCAGCCCUGACAGCCCGGACCCUCCGGUGUGCCCAGAAGGGUCCCCCGGAGUGGUCUGCGCCUCCCUGGAUGGAGGCGCCUCCAGAAGGAGCCGGCUGAAUGCUCUGGCCUUCACCUUGCAGCCUCCGCUGACCACACCUCCCCGAGUGCAGGGGUUGCCGCCCCGCCCGCCCGCCGGAAAUGCUGUCCCAGGGAGCUGGGGUGGCACCUGACGUGUGUGGCCUGCCGGUGGCCUUGGAAGGCUGGACGAGCUCCCAGACCAGAGCACCCAGGAGGCCUGGGGAGACCGAGGGAAUUGACAUCCUUUGAAGGCAGCAGGGGAAAUGUGACAUGGACAUUCAUUCUUCUGCCUGAGAGCACCCCUGAAUGUCCCUUUAUGACUCUGGCUCACUGCCUCUGGAGGGCUGGUUCCCUCAAUCAUGUCUCAAUGAGGAGUGACCACCAGCUCUACUGGGGCUGAGAUGGAGCCCCCAGAAUAGCCAGGAGAAGCUGUCACCUCCCACCUUCCUUCCUCCCUCUCAG